AUGAAACACUCCUACGGGAGGCAGCAGUGGGGAAUAUUGCACAAUGGGCGCAAGCCUGAUGCAGCGACGCCGCGUGAGGGAUGACGGCCUUCGGGUUGUAAACCUCUUUCACCAGGGACGAAGCGUGAGUGACGGUACCUGGAGAAGAAGCACCGGCCAACUACGUGCCAGCAGCCGCGGUAAUACGUAGGGUGCGAGCGUUGUCCGGAAUUACUGGGCGUAAAGAGCUCGUAGGCGGUUUGUCGCGUCGUCUGUGAAAUUCUGCAACUCAAUUGCAGGCGUGCAGGCGAUACGGGCAGACUUGAGUACUACAGGGGAGACUGGAAUUCCUGGUGUAGCGGUGAAAUGCGCAGAUAUCAGGAGGAACACCGGUGGCGAAGGCGGGUCUCUGGGUAGUAACUGACGCUGAGGAGCGAAAGCAUGGGGAGCGAACAGGAUUAGAAACCCUAGUAGUCCGAAGUUC
Molecule: ribosomal RNA, 463 nt
Filed under: uncultured bacterium
Lineage: Bacteria
Description: bacterial SSU rRNA
Rfam family: Bacterial small subunit ribosomal RNA
Source: RNAcentral